This 394-nucleotide ribosomal RNA is filed under the name uncultured bacterium. Its description in RNAcentral is "bacterial SSU rRNA". It matches the Rfam family "Bacterial small subunit ribosomal RNA", at positions 28 to 427 of the family's 1533-position model. The record is from RNAcentral.
GACGAACGCUGGCGGCGUGCUUAACACAUGCAAGUCGAGCGGUAAGGCCCUUUCGGGGGUACACGAGCGGCGAACGGGUGAGUAACACGUGGGUGACCUGCCUUUAGCUCUGGGAUAAGCCUGGGAAACUGGGUCUAAUACCGGAUAUGACCCUAUGGCGCAUGUUGUGGGUGGAAAGCCUUGUGCGGCUAGGGAUGGGCCCGCGGCCUAUCAGCUUGUUGGUGGGGUGAUGGCCUACCAAGGCGACGACGGGUAGCCGGCCUGAGAGGGCGACCGGCCACACUGGGACUGAGACACGGCCCAGACUCCUACGGGAGGCAGCAGUGGGAAUCUUGCGCAAUGGGCGAAAGCCUGACGCAGCGACGCCGCGUGAGGGAUGACGGCCUCGGUUGUA